RNAcentral lists this ribosomal RNA (468 nucleotides) under uncultured bacterium. Its description in RNAcentral is "partial 16S ribosomal RNA". It matches the Rfam family "Bacterial small subunit ribosomal RNA", at positions 28 to 507 of the family's 1533-position model. The record is from RNAcentral.
GACGAACGCUGGCGGCGUGCUUAACACAUGCAAGUCGAACGGAAAGGCCCUGCUUUUGUGGGGUGCUCGAGUGGCAAACGGGUGAGUAGCACGUGAGUAACCUGCCCUUGACUUUGGGAUAACUUCAGGAAACUGGGGCUAAUACCGGAUAGGAGCUCCUGCUGCAUGGUGGGGGUUGGAAAGUUUCGGCGGUUGGGGAUGGACUCGCGGCUUAUCAGCUUGUUGGUGGGGUAGUGGCUUACCAAGGCUUUGACGGGUAGCCGGCCUGAGAGGGUGACCGGCCACAUUGGGACUGAGAUACGGCCCAGACUCCUACGGGAGGCAGCAGUGGGGAAUAUUGCACAAUGGGCGGAAGCCUGAUGCAGCAACGCCGCGUGCGGGAUGACGGCCUUCGGGUUGUAAACCGCUUUCGCCUGUGACGAAGCGUGAGUGACGGUAAUGGGUAAAGAAGCACCGGCUAACUACGUG